Molecule: ribosomal RNA, 359 nt
Filed under: uncultured bacterium
Lineage: Bacteria
Description: bacterial SSU rRNA
Rfam family: Bacterial small subunit ribosomal RNA
Source: RNAcentral
GAUGAACGCUGGCGGCGUGCUUAACACAUGCAAGUCGAACGAAGCACUUAUCUUUGAUUCUUCGGAUGAAGAGGUUUGUGACUGAGUGGCGGACGGGUGAGUAACGCGUGGGUAACCUGCCUCAUACAGGGGGAUAACAGUUAGAAAUGACUGCUAAUACCGCAUAAGACCACAGAGCCGCAUGGCUCGGUGGGAAAAACUCCGGUGGUAUGAGAUGGACCCGCGUCUGAUUAGGUAGUUGGUGGGGUAACGGCCUACCAAGCCAACGAUCAGUAGCCGACCUAAGAGGUGACCGGCACAUUGGGACUGAGACACGGGCCCAAACUCCUACGGGAGGCAGCAGUGGGGAAUAUGGUCAA